AAGUCGUAACAAGGUUUCCGUAGGUGAACCUGCGGAAGGAUCAUUAGUGAAUUCAAAUUUCUGGAAGGGUGUAAAAGCCUGACUAGUGCGCUGGGCGUCCCUCGUGAUGCCCAGUGUGGAACCACUUUCCUUAACACCUGUGAACUGUCUGUCAGGCCCAUCGCUCUUCGGGGCGUGGACUUGCACAUUACAAACUUACUCUGUAAAAAAUGUCGAAGUACAAAAACAAAAUAAAA
RNAcentral lists this unclassified non-coding RNA (236 nucleotides) under plant metagenome. Its description in RNAcentral is "partial contains small subunit ribosomal RNA and internal transcribed spacer 1". The stretch from base 1 to 46 matches the Rfam family "Eukaryotic small subunit ribosomal RNA", at positions 1786 to 1831 of the family's 1831-position model. The record is from RNAcentral.